CAGCGGUGUCCGCCCCUCUCGGCGAGGCGCCGGGCGCGCUUCUUUAAGCGGUCUGGGAGUCGGCCUAGGGCAGCCCCCGGACUGGGACACGGAGGAGAAGCAGACGGUGGCUGUCACAGGACUGCGCGGUGUCUCGAAGCUCUGGCAAAACAAGGCAAGAGUGAGCAAGAGUGGCGGCGGCUUCGACCUCGUGAAUGGAAUAGCGAGGUAAGAGCAGAGCUUUGAGAUGGAAUUGAAGGCAUUUUGGAGCUGGGCGAUCUGUGGGUGGUGGCUUGAGGAUCUCCCUGUUAGGAUGCGGUUCCCUUCAGGAGCUGAAGUGUCUCAGCCCCAGAACUGGAGAGAAGGAGCCUCCGUAGGGCUUGGGGACCAGGGCCGCCCUGUAAGUCGGGGCCAGUGCUCUGGAGUCCCAGGCACUUUGCAGUCCAGGCAGCGGCUUGAGCCCCCUAUAAGCAGGGGUACAGCCUCUAUGGCCGCUGCUUUGCACGCCCAGCUUCAUUUGCCCAGAGGGCCUGGCUCCCAGCACGGCGUGGGACUGCGCCGCACAUCGCGAUGAAACCGUGGGACGGCGCGGCAAGAGGGAGCAAGAGGAGCAGCGGCUUCGAGCUCAAGAGUAGAACGGAGAGGCAAGAGGGAGCAAGAGGAGCAGUGGCUUCGAGCUCAAGAGUAGAACGGAGAGGCAAGAGGGAGCAAGAGGAGCAGUGGCUUCGAGCUCAAGAGUGGAACGGCGAGGCAAGAGGGAGCUUGGAUCUGAAGAGGGGGCACGAGAGGCCCUCUGGGCAAAGGGCCUUCCUGGCAUGGCCAGGGCACUUUCUGGGUGCCGCGGGUGGCUUUGCGCUGGGCGACCUCCCUGGGAGCAGGGCUGGUCUUUGCUGUCGUAGGCCUUUUGCCGUUGUGCUCCUUUGGCUGCCCAGAGAGAGGGGCCACCCUGUAAGGAGGGUGAGAGCCCCUGUCUCCGCACCUGAGGGGGGAAACAGAGCUCUCCCGGCCCCCAGCCCACCCUCUAUGCAGGGCAGGGCCUUUUCCCCAGGCCCGGCAGCUGUCUGCCUGCCGCUGGCCCGCGGCCAGCGUGACCCCCUGUACUCGGGGCGCGUCACAGCCUUGGUCCCUCUGCCACCCCCGAGGCGCCUCAGCGUGUCGAGGCCCCUGUACCCUCCCCACAGUGCAGGGGCAGGUCUGAUGCUUUCCUCUCCCGCUCAGCGGUAG
Molecule: long non-coding RNA, 1203 nt
Filed under: Corvus moneduloides (New Caledonian crow)
Lineage: Eukaryota; Metazoa; Chordata; Aves; Passeriformes; Corvidae
Description: lncRNA (ENSCMUG00000016960.1)
Source: RNAcentral